Molecule: ribosomal RNA, 403 nt
Filed under: uncultured bacterium
Lineage: Bacteria
Description: partial 16S ribosomal RNA
Rfam family: Bacterial small subunit ribosomal RNA
Source: RNAcentral
AUUGAACGCUGGCGGCAGGCCUAACACAUGCAAGUCGAGCGAGCGGCGGACGGGUGAGUAAUGUAUGGGGACUGCCCGUUAGAGGGGGAUAACUACUGGAAAAGGUAGCUAAUACCGCAUACUAUCCGAUAACCCAUAUGGGGUUAGCUAGUAGGUGAGGUAAUGGCUCACCUAGGCGACGAUUCCUAGCUGGUCUGAGAGGAGGAUCAGCCACACUGGGACUGAGACACGGCCCAGACUCCUACGGAGGCAGCAGUGGUGAAUAUUGCACAAUGGGCGCAAGCCUGAUGCAGCCAUGCCGCGUGUAUGAAGAAGGCCUUCGGGUUGUAAAGUACUUUUGGCAGAGAAGCGGUAUCUGCAGAAUAAGCACCGGCUAACUACGUGCCAGCCGCCGCGGUAAUAC